RNAcentral lists this ribosomal RNA (460 nucleotides) under uncultured bacterium. RNAcentral's name for it is "partial 16S ribosomal RNA". It matches the Rfam family "Bacterial small subunit ribosomal RNA", at positions 338 to 795 of the family's 1533-position model. The record is from RNAcentral.
CCUACGGGUGACAGCAGUGAGGAAUAUUGGUCAAUGGACGAGAGUCUGAACCAGCCAAGUAGCGUGAAGGAUGACUGCCCUAUGGGUUGUAAACUUCUUUUAUAUGGAAAUAAAAUGUUCCACGUGUGGGCUUUUGUAUGUACCAUAUGAAUAAGGAUCGGCUAACUCCGUGCCAGCAGCCGCGGUAAUACGGAGGAUCCGAGCGUUAUCCGGAUUUAUUGGGUUUAAAGGGAGCGUAGGUGGAUUGUUAAGUCAGUUGUGAAAGUUUGCGGCUCAACCGUAAAAUUGCAGUUGAAACUGGCAGUCUUGAGUACAGUAGAGGUGGGCGGAAUUCGUGGUGUAGCGGUGAAAUGCUUAGAUAUCACGAAGAACUCCGAUUGCGAAGGCAGCUCACUGGACUGCAACUGACACUGAGGCUCGAAAGUGUGGGUAUCAAACAGGAUUAGAUACCCUAGUAGUC